Molecule: ribosomal RNA, 442 nt
Filed under: uncultured bacterium
Lineage: Bacteria
Description: partial 16S ribosomal RNA
Rfam family: Bacterial small subunit ribosomal RNA
Source: RNAcentral
CCUACGGGUGGCAGCAGUGGGGAAUAUUGGGCAAUGGUCGAAAGCCUGACCCAGCAACGCCGCGUGAAGGAAGAAGGCUUUCGGGUUGUAAACUUCUUUUGUCAGGGAAGAGUAGAAGACGGUACCUGACGAAUAAGCCACGGCUAACUACGUGCCAGCAGCCUCGGUAAUAAGUAGGUGGCAAGCGUUGUCCGGAUUUACUGGGUGUAAAGGGCGUGUAGCCGGGUUGACAAGUCAGAUGUGAAAUCCUGCGUCUUAACCGGAGAACUGCAUUUGAAACUGUUGAUCUUGAGUACUGGAGAGGCAGACGGAAUUCCUAGUGUAGCGGUGAAAUGCGUAGAUAUUAGGAGGAACACCAGUGGCGAAGGCGGUCUGCUGGACAGCAACUGACGGUGAGGCGCGAAAGCGUGGGGAGCAAACAGGAUUAGAUACCCGAGUAGUC